This 458-nucleotide ribosomal RNA is filed under the name uncultured Pseudomonadota bacterium. RNAcentral describes it as "bacterial SSU rRNA". It matches the Rfam family "Bacterial small subunit ribosomal RNA", at positions 29 to 479 of the family's 1533-position model. The record is from RNAcentral. Lineage: Bacteria; Pseudomonadati; Pseudomonadota.
AGUGAACGCUGGCGGCGUGCUUUACACAUGCAAGUCGAACGGACCAACUUAGCUUGCUUUAUUGGUUAGUGGCGCACGGGUGAGUAAUAUAUAGCUAACCUGCCCUUUAGUGGGGGACAACAGUUGGAAACGACUGCUAAUACCCCAUACUCCUUUUCACCAAAUGGUGGAUCGGGAAAGAUUUAUCGCUAAAGGAUGGGGCUUUACGGUAUCAGAUAGUUGGUGGGGUAAUGGCCUACCAAGUCUAUGACAUCUAGCUGGUCUGAGAGGAUGAUCAGCCACACUGGAACUGGUACACGGUCCAGACUCCUACGGGAGGCAGCAGUGAGGAAUUUUGCGCAAUGGGGGCAACCCUGACGCAGCAACGCCGCGUGAGUGAAGAAGGCCUUUGGGUCGUAAAGCUCUGUCGACAGGGAAGAAAUUAUAAUGAUCCAAUAGGUGAUUAUAUUGACGGUACC